CCAAAAACGGUCUAAUCCUCUAAAGACAUUUGCUCAUGUGCGACGUUUGUAAAUUGAAAUACAUCAUGGGAUUUAGAGACUCACCAGUUGCGAAAUUUUAUAAUCUAGGAAACUAGGAAUAUGUUACCAAUAAUAUUAACGACUAUUAAAGUGCCAGCAGUCGCGGUCAUACUUUAGUUGAAAACAAACUUAAUUAGGACCUGCCGUAGUAAAUAAUAAACUUAUAGUAAAAUAUAGUGACUAUAUACUUUCAUACUCCCAUUGACAUAAAUACUGGAAGCAAACAGGGAUUAGAUACCCCUUUAUGCAGUAAGUAAAACACGUCCUGGGCAUUACAAUUAACAGAUUAAAACCCAAUGAACAUGGCGGUAGUUUAAACAUUUAGGGGAACUUACUAAGUAAAUGAUAACCACCAAGAAUAUGUACGUUAAGUCACAUUUUACAUACCGUCGUCGUCAGAUCUACUUAGAUAGAAUAUCAACAUAUUUUCGAAAAUAAAAGGACAGAUCAAGGUGUAGACUAUUUUAACGUUUCAGCGAGUUACAUUAUUUUUUGUUUUCGUAAACUUAUUAUAUAAUAAGUUACAGGCGGACUUAAAAGUAAUAUUUAUAGAAGAUACAAUAUGAAUAAUCUUAACCUG
RNAcentral lists this ribosomal RNA (640 nucleotides) under Helix dormitoris dormitoris. Its description in RNAcentral is "partial 12S ribosomal RNA". The record is from RNAcentral. Lineage: Eukaryota; Metazoa; Mollusca; Gastropoda; Stylommatophora; Helicidae.